GUACUCACUUUAGUAGCACACAUAUUAAAAUUGGAAUAAUACAGAGAUUACCAUGGCUCUUGCAGAAGGAUGACACACAAACUGGUGGGUGUGUGUUUGUGUUU
This is a small nuclear RNA of Meriones unguiculatus (Mongolian gerbil), 104 nucleotides long. The record is from Ensembl. NCBI's taxonomy places the organism in Eukaryota, Metazoa, Chordata, Mammalia, Rodentia, Muridae.